This 480-nucleotide ribosomal RNA is filed under the name uncultured bacterium. RNAcentral's name for it is "bacterial SSU rRNA". It matches the Rfam family "Bacterial small subunit ribosomal RNA", at positions 28 to 508 of the family's 1533-position model. The record is from RNAcentral.
GAUGAACGCUAGCGGCAGGCCUAAUACAUGCAAGUCGAACGGGGUGUUUCAGCAAUGGAACAUUCAGUGGCGCACGGGUGCGUAACGCGUAUGCAACCUACCUUAAACUGGGGGAUAGCCUUCCGAAAGGGAGAUUAAUACCGCAUAAUACUAUUUGAUGGCAUCUGAAGAUAGUUAAAGAUUUAUUGGUUUAAGAUGGGCAUGCGUGCCAUUAGCUAGUUGGUAGGGUAAUGGCCUACCAAGGCUACGAUGGCUAGGGGUUCUGAGAGGAUGAUCCCCCACACUGGUACUGAGAUACGGACCAGACUCCUACGGGAGGCAGCAGUAGGGAAUAUUGGGCAAUGGACGCAAGUCUGACCCAGCCAUUCCGCGUGCAGGAUGAAGGCCUUCUGGGUUGUAAACUGCUUUUAUCUAGGAAGAAAAAGCCCAUGCGUGGGAAACUGACGGUACUAGAUGAAUAAGCACCGGCUAACUCCGUGC